Molecule: ribosomal RNA, 759 nt
Filed under: uncultured Kineosporiaceae bacterium
Lineage: Bacteria; Bacillati; Actinomycetota; Actinomycetes; Kineosporiales; Kineosporiaceae
Description: bacterial SSU rRNA
Rfam family: Bacterial small subunit ribosomal RNA
Source: RNAcentral
AGAGUUUGAUCCUGGCUCAGGAUCAACGCUGGCGGCGUGCCUAACGCAUGUAAGUCGCACGGGCUGCCUUCGGGCAGUCAGUGGCGAACGGCUGAGGAACACGUACGAACCUGCCCUGCGCUGGGGAAUAACGCAGCGAAAGCUGUGCUAAUACCGCGUACGCUUGGCGCAAGCUAAGGAAAGCCGCAAGGCGGCGCAGGAGGGGCGUGCGGCCCAUCAGCUUGUUGGCGGGGUAAUGGCCCACCAAGGCGACGACGGGUAGCCGGCCUGAGAGGGUGACCGGCCACACUGGGACUGAGACACGGCCCAGACUCCUACGGGAGGCAGCAGUGGGGAAUAUUGCACAAUGGGCGCAAGCCUGAUGCAGCGACGCCGCGUGAGGGAUGAAGGCCUUCGGGUUGUAAACCUCUUUCAGUAGGGAAGAAGCGAAAGUGACGGUACCUGCAGAAGAAGCACCGGCUAACUACGUGCCAGCAGCCGCGGUAAUACGUAGGGUGCAAGCGUUGUCCGGAACUAUUGGGCGUAAAGAGCUCGUAGGCGGUUUGUCGCGUCUGCUGUGAAAACUCGGGGCUUAACCCCGGGCCUGCAGUGGGUACGGGCAGACUAGAGUGCGGUAGGGGAGACUGGAAUUCCUGGUGUAGCGGUGAAAUGCGCAGAUAUCAGGAGGAACACCGGUGGCGAAGGCGGGUCUCUGGGCCGUAACUGACGCUGAGGAGCGAAAGCGUGGGGAGCGAACAGGAUUAGAUACCCCCGUAGUCC